UCACCCGCCAGGGNACAACGAGCCCCAGCUUAAAACCCAAAGGACUUGGCGGUGCUUUAGACCCCCCUAGAGGAGCCUGUUCUAGAAUCGAUAUUCCCCGUUCAACCUCACCCUCUCUUGUUCCUUCCCGCCUAUAUACCGCCGCCGUCAGCUUACCCUGUGAAGGUCUAAUAGUAAGCGAAAUUGGUAUAACCCAAAACGUCAGGUCAAGGUGUAGCUUACGAGAGGGGAAGAAAUGGGCUACAUUUGCUGGCACAGCAAACACGGACAUUGCACUGAAAUUAAGCAUUCGAAGGAGGAUUUAGCAGUAAGGGUGGAAUAGAGUGCCACCCUGAAGCCGGCACUGAAGCGCG
RNAcentral lists this ribosomal RNA (353 nucleotides) under Zebrus zebrus (zebra goby). RNAcentral describes it as "partial 12S ribosomal RNA". It matches the Rfam family "Bacterial small subunit ribosomal RNA", at positions 865 to 1383 of the family's 1533-position model. The record is from RNAcentral. Lineage: Eukaryota; Metazoa; Chordata; Actinopteri; Gobiiformes; Gobiidae.